This 433-nucleotide ribosomal RNA is filed under the name uncultured bacterium. RNAcentral's name for it is "partial 16S ribosomal RNA". It matches the Rfam family "Bacterial small subunit ribosomal RNA", at positions 29 to 507 of the family's 1533-position model. The record is from RNAcentral.
AACGAACGCUGGCGGCAUGCCUAACACAUGCCAGUCGAACGAGACCUUCGGGUCUAGUGGCGCACGGGUGCGUAACGCGUGGGAACCUGCCCUUAGGUUCGGAAUAACUCCCCGAAAGGGGUGCUAAUACCGGAUAAUGUCUUCGGACCAAAGAUUUAUCGCCUUUGGAUGGGCCCGCGUUGGAUUAGCUAGUUGGUAGGGUAAAAGCCUACCAAGGCAACGAUCCAUAGCUGGUCUGAGAGGAUGAUCAGCCACACUGGGACUGAGACACGGCCCAGACUCCUACGGGAGGCAGCAGUGGGGAAUAUUGGACAAUGGGCGAAAGCCUGAUCCAGCAAUGCCGCGUGAGUGAUGAAGGCCUUAGGGUUGUAAAGCUCUUUUACCCGGGAUGAUAAUGACAGUACCGGGAGAAUAAGCGCCGGCUAACUCCGUG